RNAcentral lists this ribosomal RNA (499 nucleotides) under uncultured bacterium. RNAcentral's name for it is "partial 16S ribosomal RNA". It matches the Rfam family "Bacterial small subunit ribosomal RNA", at positions 28 to 507 of the family's 1533-position model. The record is from RNAcentral.
GAUGAACGCUGGCGGCGUGCCUAAUACAUGCAAGUCGAGCGAACAGACGAGAGUGCUUGCACUCUCUGACGUUAGCGGCGGACGGGUGAGUAACACGUGGGUAACCUACCUAUAAGACUGGGAUAACUUCGGGAAACCGGAGCUAAUACCGGAUAAUAUUUAGCUUCGCAUGAAGCAAUAGUGAAAGACUGUUCUGCUGUCACUUAUAGAUGGACCCGCGGUGUAUUAGCUAGUUGGUGAGGUAACGGCUCACCAAGGCAACGAUACAUAGCCGACCUGAGAGGGUGAUCGGCCACACUGGGACUGAGACACGGCCCAGACUCCUACGGGAGGCAGCAGUAGGGAAUCUUCCGCAAUGGACGAAAGUCUGACGGAGCAAUGCCGCGUGAGUGAAGAAGGUUUUCGGAUCGUAAAACUCUGUUGUAAGGGAAGAACAAGUACGUUAGUAACUGAACGUACCUUGACGGUACCUUACCAGAAAGCCACGGCUAACUACGUG